This 397-nucleotide transfer-messenger RNA is filed under the name fish gut metagenome. It matches the Rfam family "transfer-messenger RNA". Rfam says of the family: Bacterial tmRNA, also known as 10Sa RNA or SsrA, is named for its dual tRNA and mRNA-like properties. Its role is to liberate the mRNA from a stalled ribosome. To accomplish this part of the tmRNA is used as a reading frame that ends in a translation stop signal. The record is from RNAcentral.
GGGGAUGUACUGGUUUUGACAGCAUCGAUUCUGAGCGGUAAGCACGUCGGGCUCCCGGAGGGCCGGCCCGCCAAAACGGUUCUUCAACAAUUUAGUUGCUGAUAACAACUACGCACUCGCUGCCUAACCGACCAAGUCGCUUAGCUUAAUCCCGGCCGCCAAGGCUGCGGUCAGGACGAGUAUCCCGCGGACUUUAAGCCUUCUAUGUUCCGGCCACGGGGUAUCAUUCAAGAAGGAUGCGCCUGCGGACUCCCUUAAAGCAGGUCAAGACCCAGGGGAUAAGCCUCGGACAGCCCGCCUUCCGGCAUUCCGCGGCCGACAACCAAAGGCAGGAUAAGCGUGUAGAAAGCCUCCCGGCACGUUGUUUGGACGGCGGUUCGACUCCGCCCAUCUCCAC